RNAcentral lists this long non-coding RNA (1184 nucleotides) under Neodiprion pinetum (white pine sawfly). RNAcentral describes it as "uncharacterized LOC124211408". Lineage: Eukaryota; Metazoa; Arthropoda; Insecta; Hymenoptera; Diprionidae. The record is from RNAcentral.
ACGAACGACGCCAUCUUGUCAGUCUUUACAGUCCUGAUUUUGUCGCGGCUGUGUCGACCCGUGUCGGCGCGUUUGUAUCGCGGUCGGUGAUGUUUUCGGGCUAAAUGUGCGUGAAGUAUGAGUCAAUCUAUUUUCUUGUACAAUGUAGACAUACAGUUUCAGAGUGAAUUAGGUGCAGUCGUCGGACGAUUGGAUUAACGUGCGAUUGCCGGUCGCAACUUCGUAACGGCUUUGCUUUCAUCGUCUCGAAAACCGGGAAGUGUUAUUGUCGCUGCAGUUUCUAUCGAAGCGGUGUGCCUAUGUUUUUAAAUUCGCGACAAGUUCCGUCUGUUUCCGAAUUCCCCGAAACAAACCCUUUGAAGUGUGUUAUAAAGUUAUUGUCCGAAGUUGAUCCGGAAGGCGUGCGUGGAUACAUUGCGAGAAGUAAGUUAGGGGAGCAAGAAUGAUUGUGUACACAGUGAUUGAUCAUCGUUAAAAGGCAUAGCAAUCGUAUCACUUUUCAAAACCAGCUGCACACCGAUCGCUACUUCGUAUCUAUCGCUCAAAGGCCGAUAUUAUUCGAUCAACGGUCAGUGGGAUUUACAAUGCUGAACAACCUCUCCAAGUCGCCAUAAGAAAACAAGCCGUGAGAUAGGAUGUUCGAGAAUGAUGGAUACCGGCCAGGCUUUUUUCUAAAUGUGAACGAGGACCGUUCGGUCUUACUUCCUGAACGUUAACGACGAGAAACGGCUUUGACAAUGUCUCCCUUGGAAACUACCGGGGAUAAUUUCGACCUCGAGGACUGUGGAUAGAUAAACACAUCGCCUGGGAACCUCUCCUUUGACGAGGGGGCUUCUUCGGGUAUAAACCGAAUCUCAAAAGUUCUCGCCUGAGAACGAAGCUGGGUAAGAUAUACCCAGUUGCAUAGCGGUGUCAAUCGUCCGUCGAGUCUUUUCGACUCGCGGUGUAAACUUUCGCACAGACUUAGUCGGUGGGCUUCCGCGGCCCACCCUCACACUCGUCAAGCUGGCUAGCGCCCUGACGGCCGGUAUGAAUCCCCACCAUCCUGGCCAUCCCGGUCACCAAGGUCACCCCGGUCACCCGAGUCAUCCAGCAGCCUAUCCGCACCACCAGUCGCUCUCGAGCAGCCCCCAUCACCCGGGGCCCGGAAACGCGCACCACGGAUACACGCCGGGGGGCGGAGG